Molecule: ribosomal RNA, 1008 nt
Filed under: uncultured euryarchaeote
Lineage: Archaea; Methanobacteriati; Methanobacteriota
Description: bacterial SSU rRNA
Rfam family: Archaeal small subunit ribosomal RNA
Source: RNAcentral
GCCAUUGCUAUCAGGGUUUGACUAAGCCAUGCGAGUCGAGAGGUGUAAGACCUCGGCAUACUGCUCAGUAACACGUGGUUAACCUGCCCUAAGGUGGAGAAUACUCCCGGGAAACUGGGGCUAAUGCUCCAUAGUGGAUGCAUCCUGGAAUGGUGCAUCCUCGAAAGAUCCGUCGCCUUAGGAUGGGACUGCGUCCGAUUAGGUUGUUGGCGGGGUAACGGCCCACCAAGCCAUUGAUCGGUACGGGUUGUGGGAGCAAGAUCCCGGAGAUGGAUUCUGAGACAUGAAUCCAGGUCCUACGGGGCGCAGCAGGCGCGCAAACUUUACAAUGCGAGCAAUCGUGAUAAGGAAACCCUGAGUGCCUGUCGAUGCAGGCUGUUCAUAUAUCUAAAUCAUAUGUGAAGAAAGGGCAGGGCAAGACCGGUGCCAGCCGCCGCGGUAAUACCGGCUGCUCGAGUGAUGGCCACUAUUACUGGGUUUAAAGCGUCCGUAGCUUGACUGUUAGGUCCCUUGGGAAAUCUUCACGCUUAACGUGAAGGCGUCUAAGAGAUACCGGCAGUUUUGGAAAUGGGAGSGGUAAACCGUAAUUUGGGGGUAGGAGUGAAAUUUUGUUAUCCUYGAGGGACGACCUAUGGCGAAGGCAGUUUACCAGRACAGSUUUGACAGUGAGGGACGAAAGCUGGGGGAGCAAACGGGAUUAGAUACCCCGGUAGUCCCAGCCGUAAACAAUGUGCGUUAGGUGUGUYGGUAACCAMGCGUUAMUGAUGCGCCGGAGAGAAAUYAUGAAACGCACCACCUGGGAAGUACGGUUGCAAGGCUGAAAAUUAAAGGAAUUGGCGGGGGAGCACCACAACAGGUGGAGCCUGCGGUUUAAUUGGAUUUAACGCCGGAAAUCUCACCGGAUAAGACGGSUGUAUGAUUGUCAAUUUGAAGGUUUUAMAUGAMUAGCUGAGAGGAGGUGCAUGGCCGUUGUCAGUUUGUACUGUGAAGCAUAUCUGUUAAGUCAGG